RNAcentral lists this ribosomal RNA (503 nucleotides) under uncultured bacterium. Its description in RNAcentral is "partial 16S ribosomal RNA". It matches the Rfam family "Bacterial small subunit ribosomal RNA", at positions 28 to 507 of the family's 1533-position model. The record is from RNAcentral.
GACGAACGCUGGCGGCGUGCUUAACACAUGCAAGUCGAACGGUGAAGCGCUUUCCUUUUUGGUUGGUGUGGAUGAGUGGCGAACGGGUGAGUAACACGUGAGUAACCUGCCCCCUUCUUCUGGAUAACCGCAUGAAAGUGUGGCUAAUACGGGAUAUUCUGCGCCUGCUGCAUGGUGGGUGUGGGAAAGAUUGUGCCUUUGGGUGUUUUCGGUGGGGGAUGGGCUCGCGGCCUAUCAGCUUGUUGGUGGGGUGAUGGCCUACCAAGGCGGUGACGGGUAGCCGGCCUGAGAGGGUGGACGGUCACACUGGGACUGAGACACGGCCCAGACUCCUACGGGAGGCAGCAGUGGGGAAUAUUGCACAAUGGGCGCUAGCCUGAUGCAGCGACGCCGCGUGAGGGAUGGAGGCCUUCGGGGUGUGAACCUCUUUCGCCAGUGAAGCAGGCCUGCUCCUUGUGGGUGGGUUGACGGUAGCUGGAUAAGAAGCGCCGGCUAACUACGUG